This 619-nucleotide ribosomal RNA is filed under the name uncultured bacterium. RNAcentral's name for it is "bacterial SSU rRNA". It matches the Rfam family "Bacterial small subunit ribosomal RNA", at positions 338 to 1252 of the family's 1533-position model. The record is from RNAcentral.
CCUACGGGAGGCAGCAGUAAGGAAUAUUGGUCAAUGGACGCAAGUCUGAACCAGCCAUGCCGCGUGAAGGAUUAAGGCCCUCUGGGUUGUAAACUUCUUUUAUAGGGGACGAAAAAAGGGCAUUCUUGCUCACUUGACGGUACCCUAGGAAUAAGCACCGGCUAACUCCGUGCCAGCAGCCGCGGUAAUACGGAGGGUGCAAGCGUUAUCCGGAUUUACUGGGUUUAAAGGGUGCGUAGGUGGGUUGGUAAGUCAGUGGUGAAAUCUUCGAGCUUAACUCGGAAACUGCCAUUGAUACUAUCAAUCUUGAAUCAUCUAGAGGUAAGCGGAAUAUGUCAUGUAGCGGUGAAAUGCUUAGAUAUGACAUAGAACACCAAUUGCGAAGGCAGCUUACUAUGGAUGCAUUGACACUGAGGCACGAAAGCGUGGGGAUCAAACAGGAUUAGAUACCCUGGUAGUCCACGCCCUAAACCGAUGGAUACUCGACAUUUGUGAUAUACAAUAAGUGUCUGAGCGAAAGCAUUAAGUAUCCCACCUGGGAAGUACGACCGCAAGGUUGAAACCCCGAAAGAGUAGUAGACGUGNGAGAGACGACGACGACGACGACGGAGGGAGGAGG